This is a long non-coding RNA of Erinaceus europaeus (western European hedgehog), 937 nucleotides long. RefSeq lists it as uncharacterized. The transcript has 5 exons. The record is from RefSeq and is a predicted model, not a curated record. NCBI's taxonomy places the organism in Eukaryota, Metazoa, Chordata, Mammalia, Eulipotyphla, Erinaceidae.
UUAAGAAGGCCUGAUGACAUGUACAUACCAGUGUCCUCCCCACCCCUCUGGACCUGCAGACAUAGAUUCUCUUCUCUAAUCUCAGCCCUUCUCCUGCUCCUGCCAAGAUUGUGUCCCCUCUGGCCUUCCCAGCAAGUGACACGGCUGUGCAGGAUUGGAGCCCACAGCCUCCUGAGCCCUGCCUUCUGCCAUCCAGGUUAUAUGAUGGGGACUUACUGUGUGACUUCCAACAGGAAGGGAGGCUGAAGUAAGACUUGAGAAGGCAGAAGAUUUCUGGAAAAGAAGGAGGUCUUCUGGAGAAGAAGAGAAUUGCAGAAAAGGGAAACAGCUAAAACUCAUAGGAGAAAAGUAAAUAAAAGGUCAUCCUCUGCCAUCAUGUUCCAGGACCUGACCUGGAAUUUCUCUUUCAUAACAACAACAUACAAAGAAAGACUUGUUUAUUUAUGAGAGGAAGAAAAAGAAGAAGGAAAAGAUGGAGGAGAAGACAGAGAAUGUACCAUAGUAUCACUCUGGCAUAUGUGGUGCUGGGUAUCAAACUUGGGACCUCAUGUUUGAUAGCCCAACAAUUUACCCAUUGUACCACCUCCCAAGACAUAUCUCUCUCCUUCUAUAUGAACUAGUCAGCUCAAAUCAGUGAUGCUUCAGAAACAACAACAGCAACAACAAAAAAUAAAGGAUGAGGGGGUGGGGCAGUAGUGUAGCGGGUUAAGCACAUGUCGCACAAGCGCAAGGACCGGCUAAGGAUCCCGUUUGAGCCCCUGGCUCCCCACCUGCAGGGGAGUCACUUCACAGGCAGUGAAACAGGUCCGCAGGUGUCUAUCUUUCUCUCCCCCUCUCUGUCUUUCCCUCCUCUCUCCAUUUCUCUCUGUCCUAUCCAACAACGAUGACAUCAAUAACAACAAUAAUUACAAUAACAACAACAAUAAAAAUAUCAAGG